This is an RNA transcript of Theobroma cacao (cacao), 1559 nucleotides long. RefSeq lists it as uncharacterized. The record is from RefSeq and is a predicted model, not a curated record. NCBI's taxonomy places the organism in Eukaryota, Viridiplantae, Streptophyta, Magnoliopsida, Malvales, Malvaceae.
UGAAACAAUAAAAUCCCUUGACUUCCAAGUUUCGUGUCUGUCUCUCCUCUUUCAUUUCCUUCUCUGGUUUUACCGAACCACCAGCGAUGGUUCAAACAAGCGAAUUUCCCAUAAACCCCCAAAUGCCACCAGCCGCCCCGAUCCAAUCUCAACCUCCACCGCCAGGCCAACCGCAACCUCAACCGCAAACGGACCUUUUCCGCACCGCCAAGCGCCGUCGCGAGGAAGAAGACCCCGCGGAGGCAGGGGAUACCGGAGAAUCGGCUUCGAAACGGCAGGCGAAAUCCCAGGACGUCAUUUUCCGUAUCGUGGUCCCCUCAAGGCAGAUCGGUAAAGUCAUCGGCAAAGCAGGCCAUAGAAUCCAGAAGAUUCGUGAAGACACCAAAGCCACCAUCAAGAUUGCCGAUGCCAUCGUCCGACACGAAGAACGUGUCAUCAUCAUAAGCUCUAGAGACAACGAGGACAUGAUUUCAGAUGCAGAAAAUGCACUUCAGCAAAUAGCUACCUUAAUCCUAAAGGAAGAUGAUAGUGGUACGGAGGCAGCAAAGGUAGGAGCUGUCAGUGCGGGACAUGUGGCUGCGAAUACGAUAAGGCUUUUGAUUGCCGGGUCACAAGCAGGCUGCCUAAUUGGGAUGUCUGGUCAAAACAUUGAGAAAUUGAGGAGUUCCUCAGGAGCCUCAGUCACGAUUCUUGCUCCAAACCAGCUGCCUUUGUGUGCAUCUGCUCACGAAUCUGAUCGAGUUGUUCAGAUAUCUGGUGAUGUUCCAGCAGUAUUGAAGGCUCUGGCUGAGAUUGGUUAUCAACUCAGGGAAAACCCACCACGGCAAGUGAUUUCUAUUAGUCCAGCAUAUAAUUUUAACUUGCUUCGGCCACCUCAGCCUCAGCCAUAUGUGGACCCAACUUCAGGACAACCACUCUUGCAGCUGAUUAUGUUACUUUCGAGAUGGUGGUUUCGGAGACAUUUAUUGGUGGAUUGAUCGGCAGAUGUGGCUCCAAUAUUUCAAGGAUCAGAAUUGAGUCUGGAGCAACUAUAAAGGUUUAUGGUGGGAAAGGAGAACAAAAAGUGAGGCAUAUUCAGUUCAGCGGUAGUUCUCAGCAAGUUGCUUUAGCAAAGCAGAGGGUUGACGAAUGCAUAUAUUCUCAGAUGAUACAACAAGCUGGUACUCAACAACCAGGUUUGCAGAUGUGAUGAAGCUGCAGGGAAAUUAUCUUUUUGAUCCUUAACAGUUCCAAGGCCACUGUUGUCUCAGUGUUGCACCUUCAGCGCUGUAGCUAAAGAUUGCAAGUCAUUGUGUUUGGUGGCUUUUUUCUCCUUUGAAUGACAAGUAAUAUGCCAGAUUGUAGUUUGUUGUUUUCACAUAUAGAGUAGGCUUGUAUUCUACUAAUGAAUGAAGCUAGAAGCGGUGGUUGAAGAUUAAUUAAAACUACUGAAUUGACAAACAUGAUUAAACUGUAAAUUUGAAUUGUUUAUCUAUACUGAUUUGGUGUAUAAGAGUGUCUUGGGGUUUUCCUGGUGGGGAUGACACCCUAAGCUCAUGGUUGAGGCCAUAACUUAGAGA